RNAcentral lists this long non-coding RNA (1280 nucleotides) under Oryctolagus cuniculus (rabbit). Its description in RNAcentral is "lncRNA (ENSOCUG00000031450.1)". Lineage: Eukaryota; Metazoa; Chordata; Mammalia; Lagomorpha; Leporidae. The record is from RNAcentral.
AUUUAAAAAUAUAAUUAGCACAAUUUUCCAGAAUGUUCAUCAGGGAAUGAAUUUAUAAGUUGUUAUAUAAAGGAUUUUCCUGAAAAAUAAAGUCUUCACGAGGCAAGAAUUCUUGCAGUGAGUUCUGUGGCUAAUCCUUCCCUUUGAGGCAGUGUUUGUAGGGGAUGGAGGGAGUUAGUACUCACUGUAGGGGAUGGAGGGAGUUACUACCCACUGUAGGGGAUGGAGGGAGUUACUACCCACUGUAGGGGAUGGAGGAGUCACUACCCACUGUAGGGGAUGGAGGAGUCACUACCCACUGUAGGGAUGGAGGAGUUACCACCCACUGUAGGGGAUGGAGGAGUUAUUACUCACUGUAGGGAUGGAGGAGUUACUACCCACUGUAGGGGAUGGGGGAGUUACCACCCACUGUAGGGAUGGAGGAGUUACCACCCACUGUAGGGGAUGGAGGAGUUACUACCCACUGUAGGGGAUGGAGGAGUUACUACCCACUGUAGGGAUGGAGGAGUUACUACCCACUGUAGGGAUGGAGGAGUUACCACCCACUGUAGGGAUGGAGGAGUUACUACCCACUGUAGGGAUGGAGGAGUUACUACCCACUGUAGGGAUGGAGGAGUUACUACCCACUGUAGGGAUGGAGGAGUUACUACUCACUGUAGGGAUGUAGGAGUUACUACCCACUGUAGGGAUGGAGGAGUUACCACCCACUGUAGGGAUGGGGGAGUUACCACCCACUGUAGGGGAUGGAGGGAGUUACUACCCACUGUAGGGGAUGGAGGGAGUUACUACCCACUGGCUGACAGAUUUUCAUGGCCGGAGUUACAGUCACGGUGAUUUUGCUUAUUUAAGUAAAAUUUUAUUAUCUCUACUAUGAAAGGUGUAAAGUCACAGGAAACGGAAAAUCAGGAUCAACUCAUACUGAAAUGCAGCUAGAAAGUGGGUUUUGAAGAUUGAGUCAGAAAUUAAAAAUGCCUUUUGUGUGUAUCUGUUUUUUAUCAUGAUGAAAAUCAAUGGUUUCCCUUAUCCUGUGCAUCAAAUGCAAAUAGCUGCUGAAGUAGCUGCUCUUGCCCUGGUCUGUGCACUAUUUAGCUCCAGGGCACUUCCAAACAUUUGUGGGAAAAAAUGAAGUGGCAAGAUAAGUUUGUUUCAGGGCAAAUAAUUUUGAGAUCUAUGCACAACGUUUUCAUAACUUGUAUUUUCUGGGAACUUCAUGAAGAUCCCUCUGUAUACCUGGGUUGAAAAGUUUCUUUCCCACUGAAUAAACUCACCUCUCGGCUCCA